CAUAGAAAAUAAUAAACUAUAACCUUUCUUAUAGAAAGAAGCCACAGCACCACAAACUCACUAUUUACAUAUU
Pangasianodon gigas (Mekong giant catfish) is the source of this 73-nucleotide non-coding RNA. Lineage: Eukaryota; Metazoa; Chordata; Actinopteri; Siluriformes; Pangasiidae. The record is from the annotation of a GenBank genome assembly.